RNAcentral lists this long non-coding RNA (589 nucleotides) under Mytilus galloprovincialis (Mediterranean mussel). The record is from RNAcentral. Lineage: Eukaryota; Metazoa; Mollusca; Bivalvia; Mytilida; Mytilidae.
AGCAUAUAACAAUCAAACAUUAAACUAAAAAUCAAUAUCAAUAGUUACCUGCAAAUAUGUAAACAAAAAAUCAAUCACAAAAAGUACCAUUUAUAGUUAUAGUUAUCUAUUUAGUUGGGGAAAGAAGUCCAGGGGCGGAUCCAGCCAUUUUAAAAAGGGGGGGGGGUUCCCAACCCAGAGUAAACAGGGGUUCCAGCUGUAUGCUCACAUUCAAAAGCAUUGAUCAGCCAAAAAAAGGAGGGGUUCCAACCCCCGGAACCUCCCCUCCUGGAUCUGCCAAAAAAGUCUCCAUUGAUGACAUCAAGACAUCUACAUGAACAUCAUGUUUGUUCUUUAUUAGCACUUAAUUAUUUUUUCAAUAUUAUGUGUUGUUUCUUGAUAUUAAGCAACCAACAACAAUCAAUCAAUCAAUCAAAGGUAAUUUCAUUAAGGAAUGACUAAUAUUUUUUCUGUCUAUGAAGAAAUAACAUUAAAAAUGUGGUGCAUACUGAAUAACACGUGUUAUUUAGUGUGCACCACAUUUUCUAUGUUAUUUCAAAUAGACAGAAAAAAUAUUACAGUCAUUUCUUAUAAUUUAAUUCUAAAUUCC